Alexandromys fortis (reed vole) is the source of this 1641-nucleotide long non-coding RNA. RefSeq lists it as uncharacterized. The transcript has 2 exons. Lineage: Eukaryota; Metazoa; Chordata; Mammalia; Rodentia; Cricetidae. The record is from RefSeq and is a predicted model, not a curated record.
UCCUUUUCUACUAAUCCUUCUGCUUACCCAUUUUAUUUCUCAGUCAGCACCAGAUAUUAAGAAAAAGUUAAGAAAGGUUGAGGAGGGUCCCCAAAUCCCUAUACAGGAAUUGGUGAAGAUGGCCUUUAAAGUUUUUAAUGCCUGUGAAGAAACAGCUGAGUCUUCCCAUGGGAAAAAGCUGCAACAGGCAGCUAACCUUACAGGCCCACACCUUAGCAGCUGCCCUAAGGUUGCAGGAAGGUGGACAAGGAAACCCAACCACAAGGUUCAACCCUGGUGCAGCCCAGCCUAAGUUGACCUCACAGGCAAGCUGUUUCAAGUGUGGCCUAAAUGGUCACGUGGCAUAAUAUUGCACUAUGCCUCCUCUGAGGUUAUACCCUAUCUGCCAGCAACCUGGACACUGGAAAUCACAUGCUCCUGUGUGGGCUUGUCCUCUAUGCCAUGCCACAGAGGUCCGGCCUCACCAACAUGGGCAAGUGAAACUCUGCCAGCCUUCGAACUUCUCAGCCUUGCAGAGGAGUGAUGCUGCAGAGACUUGGUUUAUCCCAUAACCUAUCCAAGCCUAGGGUAAAGCUGCAGGUAACAGGUUCACUCCUCCUGCCAGAUGUGUGCCCAGGCCAGCCCACAAGGGGCUCUCCACAUAUGUCAGUCUCUACACCAGCUUCGCGGACACCAACUGGGCAAAGAUUGGCAGGUUGAUUUCACUCAUAUGCCUAUUCAUAAAAAACUCCAUUAUCUCUUAACACUUGUGGACACUUUUACAGGAUGGUUAGAAGCAUUUCCAGUCUCCAGGGAAACAGCAGAUGUGGUGGCUCAGGUACUCCUGGACCACAUCAUUCCUCGGUUUGGUGUCCCACGGACCAUCCAGAUGGACAAUGGGCUUCACUUCCAGGGUCAUGGAGCUCGUGUCAGAAGCUCUCAAUAUCUCCUGGAAAUUCCACACCUUCUACCAUCCAUAAUCCUCGGGAAAGGUGGACUCACUCAUCAAACAACAGCUAACCUAGCUCUCUAUCGAACUCAGGUUAUCUUGGCCCUCCCUUCUCCCCAUUGUCCUAACUUGCCUCAGGGUCACCCACACAUUCCCCUACUGGCCUGAGCCCUUUUGAGAAGCUUUAUGGCAGACCCUUUCUCCUUAACCAUCAUCUCCCAGUCCAAACUCCUUCACUGGCGGGAUACCUACCUUACCUCUCUCUUUUAAGGUCCCUUCUCCAUUCACACGCUGACAGUUGUCUCCCUGCCCCCACACCAGUGGACCCUAAUGCCCCUGAACCUGUCCUGCUCUCCCCUGGUUACUCCUCAAACAGUUAACUCCUAGGUCUCUCGAACCUCACACGGUAAUCCUCACCACCCCCUCGGCUGCCAAGCUCUUGGGACACCCAUGCUGGUACCACCUCUCCAGGCUCAAGUGGGCACCUACUCAGGACACUUGGUUUGUCCAGCAGACAGGACCUUCCACCCUCCGGUUUUCCAGGAUGCCACAAUGAAGGGCCGACCUGCUCCUCAUCCUGGCACACUCAUCUUUGAUGAUAAAUCAAGAGGAUAUAGCCUGGAAGAAGGAUUAUCCUCAUUCUUCCCCUCUUCCUUCAACAGUGGAUGCAUGUAGACCGCACUGUGCAAUAAAAAUCACUGAGUUAUAUAUUG